UCAUCCUCUUCUUAUUGGAUUGAGAAGAAUCUUUAUUCUUUGACUAGGCCUAAUUGCUGUCGAAGUGGAUGAAAAACAACCUUUUGAGCUAUUUGAAUGAAUGAAUGGACUCUAAUUGGAGCCCUAAGUACCAUGUUUGUGCCAAUCUUUUGAGGGUGGCCGAGAAGGCGAGGCAGAGAAGGGGGUCUGAUGCAUCAUGGAGCAUCAUGAGGCCCUUAUAGCCCUCUAAGUGGUUGAGGG
Molecule: long non-coding RNA, 240 nt
Filed under: Elaeis guineensis (African oil palm)
Lineage: Eukaryota; Viridiplantae; Streptophyta; Magnoliopsida; Arecales; Arecaceae
Description: long non-coding RNA (EGUI_LNC048405)
Source: RNAcentral